CCUACGGGGGGCAGCAGUGAGGAAUAUUGGUCAAUGGACGAGAGUCUGAACCAGCCAAGUCGCGUGAAGGAUGACUGCCCUAUGGGUUGUAAACUUCUUUUAUAAAGGAAUAAAACGAGGCACGUGUGCCUUUUUGCAUGUACUUUAUGAAUAAGGAUCGGCUAACUCCGUGCCAGCAGCCGCGGUAAUACGGAGGGUCCGAGCGUUAUCCGGAUUUAUUGGGUUUAAAGGGGGCGUAGAUGGGUUGUUAAGUCAGUUGUGAAAGUUUGCGGCUCAACCGUAAAAUUGCAAUUGAUACUGGCAGUCGUGAGUACAGUUGAGGUAGGCGGAAUUCGUGGUGUAGCGGUGAAAUGCUUAGAUAUCACGAAGAACCCCGAUUGCGAAGGCAGCUUACUAAACUGUGACUGACAUUGAUGCUCGAAAGUGUGGGUAUCAAACAGGAUUAGAUACCCCAGUAGUC
Molecule: ribosomal RNA, 460 nt
Filed under: uncultured bacterium
Lineage: Bacteria
Description: partial 16S ribosomal RNA
Rfam family: Bacterial small subunit ribosomal RNA
Source: RNAcentral